AUAUCAGGGGAAAAGGCAGGAUAUAAAUAAUAUAUUAUUAUAUAUUUAUUUAUAUCCUGCCUUUUCCCCUCAUAG
Molecule: non-coding RNA, 75 nt
Organism: Podarcis lilfordi (Lilford's wall lizard)
Lineage: Eukaryota; Metazoa; Chordata; Lepidosauria; Squamata; Lacertidae
Source: the annotation of a GenBank genome assembly